RNAcentral lists this ribosomal RNA (254 nucleotides) under uncultured bacterium. RNAcentral describes it as "partial 16S ribosomal RNA". It matches the Rfam family "Bacterial small subunit ribosomal RNA", at positions 524 to 776 of the family's 1533-position model. The record is from RNAcentral.
UACGGGGGGAGCAAGCGUUGUUCGGAUUUACUGGGCGUAAAGGGCGCGUAGGCGGCCAGCACAAGUCAGUUGUGAAUCUCCGGGCUUAACUCGGAAAGGUCAACUGAUACUGGUGCGGCUAGAGUGCAGAAGGGGCAACUGGAAUUCUCGGUGUAGCGGUGAAAUGCGUAGAUAUCGGGAGGAACACCUGUGGCGAAAGCGGCGCACUGGACCACAACUGACGCUGAGGCGCGAAAGCUAGGGGAGCAAACAGG